Molecule: long non-coding RNA, 760 nt
Organism: Cornus florida
Lineage: Eukaryota; Viridiplantae; Streptophyta; Magnoliopsida; Cornales; Cornaceae
Exons: 3
Source: RefSeq, a predicted model, not a curated record
UGAGAGUGUCCAUUCUAUUGCUAUUGUUUGUUUGGUUACCCAGAAAUUACGAGAAAAGAAAAUGAAAUCCUGUAUUUGUGAUUUGAUUACGUUAAAUAAAAGACCUCGUCCAAAACUUGUUGGAUCAUCUUCGAGCUCGUUUGUGGGUUUCAGUUGGAAUGGCUAUUGGAGCGUCUACGAUGGUAGUUCAGGAUAAAGAGUGCGGUUGGGAAUUUGGGAUGUAGAUGGAUAACAUGCUGUACUAAUACAUUUUGCUGGGCUCUGAGUUGGGCUUUGCCCAACCCAGGUUCGAACUAUUACUCAAACGGGUGGGCUUUGAGUUGAGCUAAUCCCAAUCCAAGUUGAAAAUCCAACUCACACGGUUAACGCUUAGCUGGGGAGUGUCGGCUGAGCUUGGCAUCAACAUCAAUACCAUCAAAGCUAUUAAUUAAUGAAGCCAAGCAUAAUGUUUCAUACAUACAAGACAAAGAGAAGGAUGCUUAACGGUCACUUGUUCAUAAUAAUAAUACUAUAAUAUGUCUCUACUAUUGGAGGGGGAAUUUAUUUGGUUUUGGAGGGGGAAUUUAUUUUACAUUUUUAAUGAUUGAGUACCGUCUAUUCAACUCUGUUGUACGGAUUUAAGGGUCAACCUGAUGAUGUACAAAACUCAGAAUAUGAUCCAAACUCUAAUUUCUGUUAUGAGCCGUGAUAUUUAGUUUAGAGGGAAUUGUCGAAUAGAAUAGUUUUUGAUCGGAAAUGAAUAGAUAUUGGGUGAGGCAUG